Molecule: ribosomal RNA, 253 nt
Filed under: uncultured bacterium
Lineage: Bacteria
Description: partial 16S ribosomal RNA
Rfam family: Bacterial small subunit ribosomal RNA
Source: RNAcentral
GACGGAAGGUGCAAGCGUUGCUCGGAAUCACUGGGCGUAAAGGGUGCGUAGGCGGCUUGGUAGGUCUGGUGUGAAAGCCCCGGGCUCAGCCCGGGAAGGGCACUAGAAACUGCCAAGCUAGAGUGCCGGAGGGGAGAGUGGAAUUCCUGGUGUAGCGGUGAAAUGCGUAGAGAUCAGGAGGAAUACCGGUGGCGAAAGCGACUCUCUGGACGGCAACUGACGCUGAGGCACGAAAGCGUGGGUAGCAAACAGG